RNA transcript from Dunckerocampus dactyliophorus (ringed pipefish), 6703 nucleotides. It is a transcript of the gene named protein prenyltransferase alpha subunit repeat containing 1, with no coding region annotated. The transcript has 8 exons. The record is from RefSeq and is a predicted model, not a curated record. NCBI's taxonomy places the organism in Eukaryota, Metazoa, Chordata, Actinopteri, Syngnathiformes, Syngnathidae.
CUUUUCCUUUCGGCUUUUCCCUUCACAAGCAUGAAAACGGUUUUGUUUUUUUGCUCCUAUUUCUUCUAUUUGUAGUUUGAAACUCUACUUACAACCUUCUUAAGGUCGAACGGUAUAAAAUGAACAUUCUUGCAAUUUCUUAACUGGUUUUAAGAUUUUGGUCAGGAGCGUAUGUUGAAAAGGAGUAGUUUUGAAACUGCGUUCAAUUUACGUGCAUCUCCAUUUGCUUGAAACAUAAUUAUUGUUACAUUAUUUUUUUAUUAUUUUCAGUUACAUUGCUUAUUAUUAUUAUUAGUAGUAGUAGUAGUAGUAGUGCUACAUGAGUAGGUUAGAACUAGUGCAGCUUCUGAUGAAACAAAAGAGUUACAUUGCCAUCUACUGGCCAUGGAUGCUCACUUAAUCAACAUAAUAAGAAAGCUUUGCCAAGUACAAUGACGUAAAAGAAUCGUCAAGGAGUGUAAAUACUAAGAAUGUAAAUAUGCUCUUACCUUAAUAGACGUAUUAUGAUUUGUAAAUUAGACUCAGUAGACAUGACGUAGUACUCAGUAGACGUGUGGUCAUAGUUUGGUAUAUAGCCUUGGUUUGGGUUUCGUGGCCUGCUAAACGCCACUGUUGUCGAUUUACAAAGUUCGAUCAUUGUGUCUUUCCGUAGUCCUUGUCAUUUGACCCGGAAACAUAUUGGCCUGUUUACGUCAUUAGGUGACCUAAAAUGGCGGAGUCGGAGGAGGAGGUGGAUGUGUUGGUCCAGAGAGUUGUUAAAGACAUCACCAACGCCUUUAAGAGGAACCCGAACAUUGAUGAAAUUGGUGUGAUUCCAUGUCCAGAGGCGCGCUACAAUCGCAGUCCCAUCGUGUUGGUGGAGAACAAGUUGGGCAUUGAAAGCUGGUGUGUCAAGUUUUUGCUGCCAUAUGUUCACAACAAGCUGGUUUUGUACCGCCAGCGGAAACAUUGGCUGGAUAGGGAAGCUUUGGUGGAUAUCACCUCCACCCUGUUGCUGCUGAAUCCGGACUUCACCACUGCAUGGAAUGUCAGGAAAGAGUUGCUGCAGUGCGGAGUUUUUAACCCUGAGAAAGACCUCUACCUUGGCAAGUUGGCACUCACUAAAUUCCCCAAGAGCCCAGAGACAUGGAUACAUCGGCGCUGGGUAUUGCAGCAAAUUCUUCGACGUCUCUCAGCCGUGGACUGCAGUGGAAAGCAGCAGCAGCAGCAGCAGCAGCAGCAGCGGGGUGAAGCAGAACAGGCUAAUGCAGAAAGGAGUCAGCAGCUCAGCGAGCAGCUGGCUCGAACACUCCAGCAAGAGCUCAUGAUCUGCUCUGAUGCUGCUUGCCGUUAUCCUAGCAACUAUAACGCAUGGUCCCACCGCAUAUGGGUGCUGCAACACAUGGCCAAAGGCAACGUCAAGGUUUUCCAUGAUGAGCUGUCCUCCAUGGGUCAGUGGGUGUCAAUGCAUGUGUCAGACCACAGCGGCUUUCACUACCGCCAAUUCCUGCUCAAGGAGCUAAUUACCGAGUUUUCCCAGACACGAGCUCCCAGCAACAACAGCUCUCUCCAGCAUCCGUCCAGGACAGUCCCCAGCAGCUGUCCCUUACAUUCCAGCAACUUUCAGGUGAAUGGAGAGCUUUCAGGAACAGAGGCAGUGGAUGAAGACGAGCGGGAGCUCGAAUUAGCCAAACUAUUUGAGCUCUUCCACCAAGAGAUGGUUCUGUGCACUGACCUGAUCCAGUCUUUCCCGGGACAUGAGACACUGUGGAGUCACAGGCGGCACAUCUUCUACUUGUGGCACCAGUGGAGGUUAGAGCAUCAUCUCCAGCACUUGAACAGCAAUGGCGGCAGUGUCCACCAUGACGCCGGUGACACAGGCCUGCCAAAGGCGGGCGCUCCAUGCUGUAGAAAUUGGGAGGAUGAUGUGAACGGACAAAGGCAUGCUGUUAUGGAGGUAGACGGCGUAUCACUGCCUGAUCCACGCAACAGCAAGCGCCUGAAGAGAGGCGUUCACCUACCAAGCCUCCCCAGCCUGUCCUCAGAGUGCACGUUUGUGAGCGCUAUCCUGGAGCGCACCUGUAACGCCGAGCAGAGACGCUUUGCCUCGGCCUACAAGAAGUGGUUAGACACAGUCAUCGGUAAGGAGCUCUGAGAAGAUCCAUCCUUUUCUACAUGUUCCUUUUCUACACGCAGACUAACUGCUAGUAUUUCAACGCUGCCAUGACAUUAGCAAGCAAUCAUAAUGCAACAUAUAAUCAUAGUCUUUCCAAUCACCUCAUCUACACCACUCUGACUUUAUUUUAAAUGUAAAGUCAUUAACUGAGUAUUAUUAUAUGUUGCUUCAAUCUAAUACCAAUACCUUACUGAGUAAUAUAUGUUGCUUCAUUCUAUCAUAUCUAGGUCAUGUAGGCAUGUAUUAAUAUGAAGAAGAAAUGUUUUAUAGUAUGUAUGUAGCAAAGUGCAGCCAAAAACAUUAUCAGUGCAUGUAUUUCAAUAACUUGAAGUACAUGCAGUGUUUUAACAGUACACCUGGUGGACUUUGAAUAAGCUAAAGCUCUUACCUUUUCUGGUACGACACACUACUACAAUACAAUACUACAGCCACUGUUAAAUGUCUACUAUACACGAUUCUGGAGAUAAUUAAGUGUUUUAACAGUAUAAUCAUGCUAGUACUUUUCUUUCUGUACAAUAAAGAUAAGAGGAAAUAAUGUACCUGUAGUUGUGUCACACCUGACAGGCUAUGACAAAGUAGCAUGUUAGUAGAUAUUCAUUAUUAGCUAUUCAGUCAAUUCUGUCUCAGAUGAUGGUCUAUAGAAAAUACGGAAAAAAAAUGGAAGCAGUUACAGUACCUUAUGGGGUCCAUUAUUAUUAUAAAUGAUUGUGACAUAACCGAAUGAAUGCAUUGGCAAUUCAUUUGAAAUAUUGUCAUCAAAUAUUGCUAAGAAAUUCCCAAAACAACACCUCCCAAUAUGACAAUAUCUCAUAAUAUUUGUUUCCAGUUGUGUUUUCCAUGUGACUUUGUAUCAUGUGUACCAUGUUAUAUACCAUGUGUACCAAGUGUGCGCUCUACAGUGGGGCCAAAAAGUGUUUGGCCGCCCACCGAUUGUGCAAGUUUUCCCGCUUAAAAAGAUGAGAGGUCUGUCAUUUGCACCAUAGGUACACUUCAACUGUGAGAGACAGAAUGUGGGAAAACAAAUCCAGAAAAUCACAUUUGAUGAUUUUUAAACAAUUUUUUUUGUAUAUUGCUGCGAACAAUAAAUAUUUGGACACACACAAAAGCAGCAAUUCUGGCACUCCCACGCCUUUAACUUCUCCUUUACGAAGCUCUGACAUCCUCUAUUUCUUGCUUGUAUUUGUGGCACCUGUUUGACCUCGUUACCAGUGUACCAGCAUCAAACGGUCAGACUCCAACCUCCACCAUGGCUCAGACCAGUGAGCUCUCGAAAGACAUCAGAGACAGACUUGUAGACCUACACAAGUUGGGAUAAGGUAUGGAGUUAUAGGCAAGCAGCUUGGUGUGACAAAAUCAUACAAAUCAACUGUAUUUGCAAUAAUUAAAAAAAUAAGUCUUACAAGGUCACAGAUAAUCUUCCUCACCUCGUGGGGUCCAAAUGAUCUUGCGAACGGUAAGGAAUCAGCCGGACGGAGCUGGCGAAUGACCUGCAAAGUGCUGGGGCCGCAGUCACAAAGGGUACCAUCACUAACACACUACAUUGUCAUGGAUUGUGACUGGAUUGGAUGCUGCAUUGCCAGAUCUGUCCUCCUGCUUUAAAAAAAAUGUCUAGGCCCGUUUUAAGUAUGCCAGAAACCAUCUGGAUGAUCCAGAGGAUUGUGAGAAUGUCAUGUGGUCAGAUGAGACCAAAUUUGAACUAUUUGGUAAAAACUCCACUCGUGGAGGAAGAAGGAAGCUGAGUUGCAUCCCAAGAACACUGUCCCUACUGUGAAGCACGGGGGUGGAAACAUCAUGCUUUGGGGCUGCUUCUCUGCAAAGGGGAGAGGACGACUGAUCUGCAUUAAGAAGAGGAUGAAUAGGGCAAAGUAUUGUGAGAUUUUAAGCAAAAACCUCCUUCCAUCAGUAAGAGCAUUGAAGAUGAAACGUGGCUGGGUCUUCCAGCAUGACCUUGAUCCUAAACACACCGCCCGGGCAACAAAAGAGGGGCUUUAUAAGAACCAUUUUAAAGUCCUGGAAUGGCUAAGUCAGUCUCCAGACCUCAACCCUAUAGAGAAUCUGUGGAGGGAAUUGCAAGUCUGUGUUGCUCAGGGACGUCCCCAAAACUUGACAGAUCAGGAGAUCAUCUGCAUGGAGGAGUGAGACAAAAAUACCAGUUCGGUGUGUGCAAAUCUGGUGAAGAGCUACAGGAAAAGUUACACCUCUGUCAUUGCCAGCAGAGAUUACAGUACAAAGUAUUGAGUUGAUGUUUUUGUUAGUGUCCAAUUAUUUAUUUCCCUGUCCAUUAUACAAAUAAAUUGUUUAAAAAUGAUUGAAUGUGAUUUUUCUGGAUUGUUUUCCACAUUCUGUGGAAAACUUGCAUAAUCGGUGGGCAUCCAAAUACAUUUUGGCCCCACUGUAUACCAAGUGUACCAUGUGAACCAUGUUGUAUACCAGGUGUACCAACUGGUUUGGCUGUGAGACCCAGACCCACCAUCACCUCUGGUUGACAAGCAGCAACCUGAAUUAAGAAUUUUUUUUCAACUCAGACUUCUCAGAAAUAUGACUUAUACUUAAAGGGGACUGUUUGCAACAGUGACAUGACUGUCUAGGGAAUGGGUGUCAAACUCGUGCCAUGGAGGGCUGAGACACUGCAGGUUUUUUCUACAACCAGUUUCUCCAGCAGGCGAUUUAUUGAUUAAUUGAUGAGCUCCUUUCCACAAAUGAGGUUUUGAUCAUUAAAAUCACCUGCUUUAGUGAUCUGCUGGAAAGAAAACCUGCAGGGUUUUGGCUCUCCAAGACACGAGUUUGACACGUGGCCCAGAGUGUGCUAACUUCGGAAACAUGUUGCAUUAUAUCCCGCCCUCUUCCUGUCAUAAGCAUGGAAGCUCCACCUCACAUAACACCAUCCGUAGCUUCUCUGGGACUGCAUUUGUGCUUGUAUGCGCAUCUGCUUGUAUGUGCACAUGUAUGGCAUAGCCGUGAGUGACAGCCAUGAAUGGCAGUCAUCUUAUUCAUCUUAUCUUAUUUCUAUUCAAUUUCAUUUCUAAUUGUGAAAAAAUGUGAAAUUCUUUUGUUCAAUCUGUUCUUUGAAGCCACUAAUGUUAACAUGCUGCAAGCAGUCCCCUUAAUCUAGAGCUGCAACAAUGAAUCAAUCAAUUUUUUUGCCUCUUUUCUGAUAAGUUGCGGACCCAACCACUAACUGUAGGUGUUUGCUUCAUGUUAAUUUGGUCCAUGUAUGGCCAACCGAUUACUCCAUUAACUGAAACAACAAGCUUCAGAUUACCGUAAUCGACUAAGAAAAAUGAUCAUGAUUGUAUUUUUGUGUACAUUUAUUGUUUUACUGAAGCAACUUGACAAACAUUUUGAUUUGUCAUUUAAAAUGAUUUUAACAGAAUAUUCAAGUGGCAACCUGGUGUUUGUGCACUGAUUUGCUCUGUCAGUUCAAAUCUUCUAUUUCUGAAUAAAGAGGCGGAAAUUAAAAAUGUGUUUUUUAAAUUUAAAAUAUGAUUAAUCGAAAAAAAUAAUCGACCGAUUAAUCGGUUAUUAAAAUAAUCGUUUGCUGCGGCCAUACCUUAAUGAAAAGACACUGAAAUUGAAAUUUGAGGUAGUGCAAAAAUAACGCGUGCUUGCACAAAACAAGUUAUUGAUCAUUUCGGGAACAGUACAUUUUAUUCACAAAUUGAAAAAUGGUUUGAAGAGAAAGUGUGUAAAUGGUAUAUUUGAGCAGUUGAGUUAGACCAACUGGACUUGGACAUGGAUGUGAAACAUCUUCAAGAAAAUCAGGAUUCAACUCUCUCUUCAACAAUAAGUUUAAUAAUAAUAGCAGGCUCAUUAAUCAGGCAGAGCCGGGGUAAUAGCUGGGAGUGAAACACCUCCCAGUCCCAUCAUACUGUAACUGGGAGACUGCAUUGUGAAUGCAAUACAACGUGAACUGCAGCUGUGAGAAGGUGUCGCUCUCUUUAUGGCACGCUUUUCUAUCGCAGAUAUCUGCAGCUUUGUGGCUGACUGGCAUGUUAAGUCCCCACUCAAUGUCCUUCCCCUCCAGCUCAAAGUUGACAGUCGCCCAUAAACAUGGCACGCACCUUGUGGCAGCAAGCAAAUAGCGUAGACAUGAGGUGCAUUCACGGACAUGCUUACCGUAUGUACCCACCAGUUGAGCUUCACUGAUGUCUACCAUAUGUAAGGUAAAUUCCAGUGUACAUGUACAUGAUAUGAGUAAGUAGUAUGUCAUGUUUGUGGGUUUAUGCAUAUGAGAAGUUUUGAAGGUUAUACAAGAUGAAAUAUGCAUACAUGGAAAGGUUCAUCGGUCCUUUAAUACAAAUGCUUUUUUCCAUUGAUACUUGUGAUUUCUGUUUUAAUAAUCUGUAGCAGCGCAUAUAUUUUUUUUUCAUCUCGUACUGUUUGUCAUCUGCUUUGUUAGACAAUAAAGCUCACGUGGAAUCAUGUUUACGUUCACAUUUCACCUCUUUAAGACAUAUUUUUCACCUAUAAAGACAUGUUUUUAAAAAGAAAAUUAAUGUUAGUGUGCGUGUACAUGAGUAUCAUUUCUAAACAGAAAAUAAAUGUUAG